This 106-nucleotide ribosomal RNA is filed under the name Nephila pilipes (giant wood spider). The record is from RNAcentral. Lineage: Eukaryota; Metazoa; Arthropoda; Arachnida; Araneae; Nephilidae.
ACAGCCAUACCAUAUUGAAAGCACCGUCAAUCGUCCAAUCACCGAAGUUAAGCAUAAUCAGGCGCAGUCAGUACUUGGAAGGGUACCCCCUGGGAACACAGCGUGU